RNAcentral lists this long non-coding RNA (210 nucleotides) under Elaeis guineensis (African oil palm). RNAcentral's name for it is "long non-coding RNA (EGUI_LNC075103)". Lineage: Eukaryota; Viridiplantae; Streptophyta; Magnoliopsida; Arecales; Arecaceae. The record is from RNAcentral.
GAGCUUGGAUUCUAACUGCACAAUGACACAAAGAGAAAAAUAAAAGAGAAAGAAAAUGAGAAACCAAAUCUAGGCUACGAGAAGAUCUUGAGAAGAUCCAGAAAAGUUGAUUCCAACAAUUCGAGCAUUGCUAGUUAACCCGAAAGAAAUUAAACAAGCAUUCAAAGAACCUAAUGCUGUUUCUACCAAAAAAAAAAAUAUCUAAUGCUG